Molecule: ribosomal RNA, 429 nt
Filed under: Actinomycetes bacterium
Lineage: Bacteria; Bacillati; Actinomycetota; Actinomycetes
Description: Actinobacteria bacterium partial 16S ribosomal RNA
Rfam family: Bacterial small subunit ribosomal RNA
Source: RNAcentral
UAGGGAAUCUUCCGCAAUGGGCGAAAGCCUGACGGAGCAACGCCGCGUGAGUGAUGAAGGUCUUCGGAUCGUAAAACUCUGUUAUUAGGGAAGAACAAAUGUGUAAGUAACUAUGCACGUCUUGACGGUACCUAAUCAGAAAGCCACGGCUAACUACGUGCCAGCAGCCGCGGUAAUACGUAGGUGGCAAGCGUUAUCCGGAAUUAUUGGGCGUAAAGCGCGCGUAGGCGGUUUUUUAAGUCUGAUGUGAAAGCCCACGGCUCAACCGUGGAGGGUCAUUGGAAACUGGAAAAAUUGAGUGCAGAAGAGGAAAGUGGAAUUCCAUGUGUAGCGGUGAAAUGCGCAGAGAUAUGGGGGAACACCAGUGGCGAAGGCGACUUUCUGGUCUGUAACUGACGCUGAUGUGCGAAAGCGUGGGGAUCAAACAGG